GAUGAACGCUGACAGCAUGCUUAACACAUGCAAGUCUUUGGCGAAUCUGUGCUUGCACCGGCUAGCCAAGGCGGACGGGUGAGUAACGCGUAAAGAACUUGCCCUGCAGACAGGGAUAACAGACGGAAACGACUGAUAACACCUGAUACAGUUGCCGGCACGCAUGUGCCUGGCAAUGAAAAGAGAUGCUGCAGGAGAGCUUUGCGUCCUAUUAGCUUGUUGGUGAGGUGACGGCUCACCAAGGCGAUGAUAGGUAGCCGGCCUGAGAGGGUGAACGGCCACAAGGGGACUGAGAUACGGCCCUUACUCCUACGGGAGGCAGCAGUGGGGAAUAUUGGACAAUGGGGGCAACCCUGAUCCAGCAAUUCUGUGUGCACGAAGAAGGUUUUCGGAUUGUAAAGUGCUUUCAGCAGGGAAGAAGAAAGUGACGGUACCUGCAGAAGAAGCGACGGCUAAAUACGUG
This 463-nucleotide ribosomal RNA is filed under the name uncultured bacterium. RNAcentral's name for it is "partial 16S ribosomal RNA". It matches the Rfam family "Bacterial small subunit ribosomal RNA", at positions 28 to 507 of the family's 1533-position model. The record is from RNAcentral.